UCCAAACUUAUAGACUUCCCUUUUUCUCUCAUUCUCUCUCCAGAAAACUUCCCAUUGCCCCAACUCAAGAAUUGUCUUUGUUUGUCUGGGGGAGGGGGUUGGUGCUUCGGCUCCACCCACCUCCCCUCCUCACCGGCCAAGGGCCAACACGCGCCCUCCAACAACUUCUUCAGGUGCCGAUCAUCCAGUUGGAGGAAGAAAUCCACUCAUUUGUGCGGCUUGUACGCCUCACGAGCGGCGCACUCGUGGCCGCAACUUGGAGAGUUUUCUGCCGCCACGUGCGACAGUUUCGAUACCAACAACUUCAGAUCUUUAAGACUUGACUAUUCUCUUCUCUCUUGUUGUGGCGCAUGGCUUGCACGCACCGCCACCCCCAGUGUCGACCCCUUUGCCAGUGAUUCACCACAGUGUUCAGUUGCUACACUAUAUUCCUGCUUUCUCUAACCAAGGAUCAAGUGAAAGUAGUAGAUGUGAUAGUUCCUUUCAGCCAAUCCAGACCAACACGUUGCAACACACCCCUUUGUACUAUAACUUCCAACUGAAAUUUUAUAAUUUUUUUAUCAGACUUUUUUAAAACCGUCACCAAACAGUCUAUGCAUUUGGGAAUUGAGUAGGAGCCAAGUUUUUGAUUCCGUUCACUCACUUUGUUUUUUCUUUUUUGUGUUAUAAUGUAUAUUAACUUUGGAAAGAUUGUAAGAGACUCUCACUCCAUUAAACUUAUACUUAUAUUUGUUAGUUUAUCUAUAAA
Carya illinoinensis is the source of this 748-nucleotide long non-coding RNA. RefSeq lists it as uncharacterized. Lineage: Eukaryota; Viridiplantae; Streptophyta; Magnoliopsida; Fagales; Juglandaceae. The record is from RefSeq and is a predicted model, not a curated record. The transcript has 2 exons.